This is a non-coding RNA of Lasiosphaeria hispida, 107 nucleotides long. The record is from the annotation of a GenBank genome assembly. NCBI's taxonomy places the organism in Eukaryota, Fungi, Ascomycota, Sordariomycetes, Sordariales, Lasiosphaeriaceae.
UCUUCCGUAGUAUAGUGGUCAGUAUAUGAGCUUGUCAUGUCGUCUUUCCUUGUAAGAGGAAGACAUGGACAUCGCUCGGGACCCGGGUUCAAUUCCCGGCGGGAGAG